RNAcentral lists this ribosomal RNA (1398 nucleotides) under uncultured bacterium. RNAcentral's name for it is "16S ribosomal RNA". It matches the Rfam family "Bacterial small subunit ribosomal RNA". The record is from RNAcentral.
AGAGUUUGAUCCUGGCUCAGGAUGAACGCUAGCUACAGGCUUAACACAUGCAAGUCGAGGGGCAGCAUGAUCUUAGCUUGCUAGGAUUGAUGGCGACCGGCGCACGGGUGAGUAACACGUAUCCAACCUGCCGUCUACUUGGGGAUAGCCUUCUGAAAGGAAGAUUAAUACCCGAUGCGAUCUGUUGGCCGCAUGGCUGAUGGAUGAAAGAUUAAUUGGUAGACGAUGGGGAUGCGUUCCAUUAGGUUGUUGGCGGGGUAGCGGCCCACCAAGCCGACGAUGGAUAGGGGUUCUGAGAGGAAGGUCCCCCACAUUGGAACUGAGACACGGUCCAAACUCCUACGGGAGGCAGCAGUGAGGAAUAUUGGUCAAUGGACGAGAAUCUGAACCAGCCAAGUAGCGUGCAGGAUGACGGCCUUAUGGGUUGUAAACUGCUUUUAUACGGGAAUAAAUGACGACACGUGUGUUGUUUUGUAGGUACCGUAUGAAUAAGGACCGGCUAAUUCCGUGCCAGCAGCCGCGGUAAUACGGAAGGUCCGGGCGUUAUCCGGAUUUAUUGGGUUUAAAGGGAGCGUAGGCCGGCGCUUAAGCGUGCCGUGAAAUGUCCCGGCUCAACCGGGGCACUGCGGCGCGAACUGGGUGCCUUGAGUGCGCGGAACGUAUGCGGAAUUCGUGGUGUAGCGGUGAAAUGCUUAGAUAUCACGAAGAACUCCGAUUGCGAAGGCAGCAUACGGCAGCGUAACUGACGCUGAAGCUCGAAGGUGCGGGUAUCGAACAGGAUUAGAUACCCUGGUAGUCCGCACGGUAAACGAUGGAUGCCCGCUGUUGGCGAUAUACAGUCAGCGGCCAAGCGAAAGCGUUAAGCAUCCCACCUGGGGAGUACGCCGGCAACGGUGAAACUCAAAGGAAUUGACGGGGGCCCGCACAAGCGGAGGAACAUGUGGUUUAAUUCGAUGAUACGCGAGGAACCUUACCCGGGCUUGAACUGCGGGUGAACGAUUCAGAGAUGAUGAGGUCCUUCGGGACACCUGUGGAGGUGCUGCAUGGUUGUCGUCAGCUCGUGCCGUGAGGUGUCGGCUUAAGUGCCAUAACGAGCGCAACCCCUGUUCUCAGUUGCCAUCGGGUCAUGCCGGGCACUCUGUGAAGACUGCCUCCGUAAGGAGUGAGGAGGGUGGGGAUGACGUCAAAUCAGCACGGCCCUUACGUCCGGGGCUACACACGUGUUACAAUGGGUGAUACAGAGAGUCGGCGGCCGGCAACGUCCGUCUAAUCUAUAAAGUCAUCCUCAGUUCGGACUGGGGUCUGCAACCCGACCCCACGAAGCUGGAUUCGCUAGUAAUCGCGCAUCAGCCAUGGCGCGGUGAAUACGUUCCCGGGCCUUGCACUCACCGCCCGUCA